Molecule: long non-coding RNA, 2972 nt
Organism: Vespula vulgaris
Lineage: Eukaryota; Metazoa; Arthropoda; Insecta; Hymenoptera; Vespidae
Exons: 10
Source: RefSeq, a predicted model, not a curated record
AAAAAUUGGAGCAAGACUUUCUCUCUCUCUCUAUAUAUAUAUUAUAUAUAUCUGGGAUAUUUUAUUUAUUAGAACUAUCAGAUCAUCAUGAUACAUCUUUGGUAACAUUAAGUGAUCUAUUAUGAUUCAUCAUUAUCAGCUGAUGCGUCAGUAUCUUUAUCUUCUCUUGUUAUUUGGACAUUUUUAUUAUCUUCAGUAUAGGAUGAUGUGGUUGCCUGUUGAAUGAUAAUUGUAUUAACAUUGGACGUCUGGAACUGGAGCUGAUGGUUCACCAUAAGUUUCAUGAAGUGCUUCCAACCUCGUGCUAAGAGCAGAACCUCUUCUACUAGUAGCAUUCAUCUUUUUCAUCAACCAUUCGGCUUGUUCUUCCAAACGUUUUAAUCUGUCAGCUCGUGCUGUCAAAACUUGUUCAGGAUUAAUUCCUUCAAGUGAAUAUAAGUCUUGCUAACCGAUAUCACCAAUUUCGGACCACUUGGCGUGUCUACAGAUUUGUAACAACUGUUGGAAUCGGAGGAAGACGUUGCCGAAGCAUUUUGCGAGGCAGCAGCGUGACAACUUAAUAACUCCAACAAAACGCGCCAUACCUGCGUAUCGACAAGCGUAUUGCGAUAGGAUUGAUCGUAAACGAUAAGAGAGGGAAAGAAAGAAGAGAGAAAAGAGAAACAAAAUUGAUAUAUUCAUAUAUCAUGUCGUCAAAAAACCUUUGAUCUAGCAAGAGUUUUGGAAGUGCAGCAGCUUCGGUGCCAUUGUCCCUCGCUAUGUCAGUUAUGAGAUCACGAUUUUCCUAAAUAAAAGAUCAUUGAACAUGAUUAUUUAUAAGAAGAAAAAAAAAGAAGGUGGAGAUAAUCGUACCUGCAAUAACUGUGACAAUCUAUCAAGAUCCAUGUCGGCCGAAGAAGCUCCCAAAAGCAUUUGAGUGAACAAGCUGUUGAUCAGGGACAUUUGAUUUUGUAGAUCUCUACAGUCUGCUUUGGUCAAACCCAAUUGAGACUCCAGAUUCGAGAUCUCCGUAUCUUGCGCAUCGAUCUGUCGAGAACAAAGGAGAAAGUGUCGGAUAGAGUCCCUCCAACUGUGCCAAGGCCGUUGUAUGAGCAUUAGCCAAUUGUUGAUUAGCUUUAGCUAAUUGUAAAAUGAUCUGCGAAAGCUCCAUAUUUUCACGAUGCUGCAACCUCAACGAAGAAUUGUUAGGUUCUCCAACUGUUCUCCAAUCGGUCGUGCGUGUUGCAUAAGUCAUCUGUAAAGAUUGAUUGAACGUAUGAAAUGAUUAGGAAAUGAUGGAUUUUAAACUGAAAGAAAAUUGAUAUGACCGGAAGGAUUUUAUAUGAUCGUGGUAGUCAGAGGUAUUUCCCAAGUAUGCACGUAUAGAAACUACGAUAGUUUUUGGAUAUAAGCCAACCUGUCUGUCCAACUAUGGCGAUAGAAUGAGAAACACGUGUAAACCUGUGCACGAGGUUCCCCAGCAAUGUUGUAACCAGUAGUUCUCACUGGAUCUUCAUUGACACCGUCGACGCAAUGAAAAGUAGUAUCCUCGGCGAAGUUAACUUCGAUUGGAUUUUCAGUGUUCCUUGUUCUCGUAGGAACCGACGACGAAGAAGAAGAAGAUGGCAAAAUAUUACUAAGUGUUAGAUGACACAAGAGAAAAAGAGAACAAAAAAUAGAUAGGAAGAUAGAAAGAAAACGAAAAAAGAAAAAAGAUGGAGUACGGCCAAGAGGAUCCAAAUCGGAAUAAAAGGAUCUGUUAAAUGAAAGCAGAGCGAGCGAGAUUAUCGUGAGCUACUUCAAAGGCAUCUAUUGACGUCGCAAGCAAAAAAGAAGAACAACAAUGUUUCGCUGAUAAUCGAUCUACCCAACAUUUGCACUAUCUAUGAUUGUAAAUAACAAAUAACUGCAGAGAAAUGUUAUAAAAUGAAUGAUGUAUGUAUAUGUAUGUACAUAUAUAUAUGUGUGUACGUAUAUAUGUAUAGUAUAUGUAGCAACACGCUUGCUGAUUAUACAGAUGAUUUGCAUAAAAUCAUUCUCGUUAUAUUUGCAUUAUCAUGUUGAAAGCAUUCAACAAUAUAAACUGUAUAAGAGUCUUUCGAAUACGAAGCGUCAUGUGAGUGCAUCCAAGAAUAGCUUGAUUCACGUUUGAAAACAGAGAUAAAAUUAACUAUUCUAGACGAACAAUUGAAAACAAAGAGAUCCAUGGAUCAGUCGGAAAAAUAUGUUGGCAAAACGUUAAGUAUCAUCGAUUCGAAUGAUCGGUUAGAAGUUAUUGGUUUAGAAAGCGAAGAAGCGUGAUCUCCGAGUGCGCCAGCGAAAGAGCUUUUUUUAGCCUGAAUUUGGCUCGGUUCUUAGACACCGAAGAAGAGAGAGAAAGAGGAGAGAGGAAGAGAGAGAGAGAGAGAGAGAGAGAGAGAGAGAGAGAGAGAGAGAGAGAGAGAGAGAAAAAAAAAAGAAAAAAAGAAAGACAAUCCUUCCUGAGUGAAAGAGAAGAAGCUUAAAAGAAGCUUAAAAUGUUCAAAACUAUUCUAAAACGUGAUUGUCCAACCUGAGAACAAUACAGCUUUUAAAAGAAAAAUCGUAUAUAUGAUAAAAAAAGAAGCUUGAAAAAAGAACGACACGACACGUGUAAGAAGAUUCUUUUCGAUGUCGUUAGAAAAAAAAGGAAAAUUGUACAUAUAAAGAAAUGUACUUUUGUCAAGAACGACGGUCACUGAACGCGAGUACAAAGAAGGAUUAAAGAAAGACACGAGGUUAGUCACAUGAACCUUGAGUCAGUCGGAGAGUUAAUGUAUAUAGAAUUUAAGAACAAACGGAUGCGUAACGUUGUAACGUGGUGGGAUUGAAAUAUUCAUUAAAAUUUUUCAUUGAUAUAUAUAUAUAUGUGUGUGUGUGUAUGUAUGUAUUAAAUAGAAUCAUUGAAUAUAUAUAGAACUUUAAAAAAGUUUUUAAUUGUUUGUUCGAACAAAAUCGUUCGUGUUACUCACACA